This 253-nucleotide ribosomal RNA is filed under the name uncultured bacterium. Its description in RNAcentral is "partial 16S ribosomal RNA". It matches the Rfam family "Bacterial small subunit ribosomal RNA", at positions 524 to 776 of the family's 1533-position model. The record is from RNAcentral.
UACGGUGGGGGCAAGCGUUGUUCGGAAUUACUGGGCGUAAAGGGCUCGUAGGCGGCCAACUAAGUCGGACGUGAAAUCCCCAGGCUCAACCUGGGAACUGCGUCCGAUACUGGAUGGCUUGAAUUCGGGAGAGGGAUGCAGAAUUCCAGGUGUAGCGGUGAAAUGCGUAGAUAUCUGGAGGAAUACCGGUGGCGAAGGCGGCAUCCUGGACCGACAUUGACGCUGAGGAGCGAAAGCUAGGGGAGCAAACGGG